This 30-nucleotide non-coding RNA is filed under the name Mus musculus (house mouse). Lineage: Eukaryota; Metazoa; Chordata; Mammalia; Rodentia; Muridae. The record is from RNAcentral.
UCACUCCAUUGUCAGGCUGACAUCGAACCU